RNAcentral lists this ribosomal RNA (330 nucleotides) under uncultured eukaryote. RNAcentral's name for it is "partial 18S ribosomal RNA". It matches the Rfam family "Eukaryotic small subunit ribosomal RNA", at positions 1470 to 1796 of the family's 1831-position model. The record is from RNAcentral.
CCCUUAGAUGUUCGGAGCUGCACGCGCGCUACACUGAAGGAAGCAGCGUGUUAGAGUACCUGGUUUGUAAAAACUGGGUAAUCCGGUGAAUGUCCUUCGUGAUUGGGAUAGGCACUUGUAAUUAUUUGCCUUGAACGAGGAAUACCUAGUAAGUGCGAGUCAUCAGCUUGCGUUGAUUACGUCCCUGCCCUUUGUACACACCGCCCGUCGCUACUACCGAUUGAAUGGCUUAGUGAGGCCUCCGGAUUGGCUUUGGGGAGCCGGCAACGGCACCACAUGGCUGAGAAGUUGGUCAAACUUGGUCAUUUAGAGGAAGUAAAAGUCGUAACA